UCCAGACUCCUACGGGAGGCAGCAGUGGGGGAUAUUGCACAAUGGGGGAAACCCUGAUGCAGCGACGCCGCGUGAGUGAAGAAGUAUUUCGGUAUGUAAAGCUCUAUCGGCAGGGAAGAAAAAAGACGGUACCUGACUAAGAAGCCCCGGCUAACUACGUGCCAGCAGCCGCGGUAAUACGUAGGGGGCAAGCGUUAUCCGGAUUUACUGGGUGUAAAGGGAGCGUAGACGGCAAUACAAGUCGGAAGUGAAAUACCCGGGCUUAACCUGGGAACUGCUUUGGAAACUGUAUGGCUGGAGUGCUGGAGAGGUAAGCGGAAUUCCUAGUGUAGCGGUGAAAUGCGUAGAUAUUAGGAGGAACACCAGUGGCGAAGGCGGCUUACUGGACAGUAACUGACGUUGAGGCUCGAAAGCGUGGGGAGCAAACAGGAUUAGAUACCCCCGUAAG
This 448-nucleotide ribosomal RNA is filed under the name uncultured bacterium. Its description in RNAcentral is "bacterial SSU rRNA". It matches the Rfam family "Bacterial small subunit ribosomal RNA", at positions 330 to 793 of the family's 1533-position model. The record is from RNAcentral.